AAGUCGUAACAAGGUUUCCGUAGGUGAACCUGCGGAAGGAUCAUUCUAGAUUAAUGUUGCUUAUGCUUCAUAUCUCAUGUGCACUGUUACCGUCAAAUUGGAGGCCGUAAGGUCGUCUCUUUGGCACUAUUUUAAUUUACUAUGUACUUUUUGUAUCAUCUAAUACUUAAUUAUUAGACAACUUUUAGCAAUGGAUCUCUAGGCUCUC
RNAcentral lists this unclassified non-coding RNA (208 nucleotides) under fungal sp. Its description in RNAcentral is "partial internal transcribed spacer region". The stretch from base 1 to 46 matches the Rfam family "Eukaryotic small subunit ribosomal RNA", at positions 1786 to 1831 of the family's 1831-position model. The record is from RNAcentral. Lineage: Eukaryota; Fungi.